AUCCAGCUGACGAGUCAAAAAUGUGACGAAACACGCGUCCUGCAU
Schistosoma rodhaini is the source of this 45-nucleotide non-coding RNA. The record is from Rfam. Lineage: Eukaryota; Metazoa; Platyhelminthes; Trematoda; Strigeidida; Schistosomatidae.